AAGCCAAGGAACCUUUAAAGUCCUGGUGAUUGAUCAGCCCUGCUUUGGUCUCCUGCUCUGGGGGCCAGUGGGCCGGGCGCGGAGACUCCAGCUCCCAGCUGGGGCCGCCUCGGAUUCCCCAUUCAUCUCUCCGCCCCUAGCCCCCCAGCCAUGAGACCACCACGCAUGUGCGAGUAACAACUCCAAAGGCCCAGUGGAUGCUGAGCUAGUAGCUAAGUGCGUCAUCCCCGGUCCUUUCAUCCAAGCCACCCAGGUGACACACAGGAUCGAAGAGGACACCAGAGGCAGCCACGAGAGACCGGACUGCAAACGUGAACCUGGGUCCUGCCCGAGUUACUUCCCUCGUUCCUGGGACAAAAUAACUGACACCCACAACUUAAGGAGGAGAGGGAUCAAACUCAGGACCUUGCGCUUGCGAGGCAGGCGGUGGCGCCACUGAACUAAAUCUCCAGCAACAUUAAUUUUUAAUAAUGGUGAAGUUCAACACCUGGCAGGCGAGUUCCUGAACACUCAGUGCCUGGGGCCUGAAUGCCAGGCUGGCCCAACUCCAGCGCACGCAGCCCUGGCCCUUCUUCCCCGUUUCCGCAUCUGGCUGGGAAGGUCGGAAAGGGCAUCUGCGAAGACUUACUCCAGACCGGGCUCCAAAGGCCACCGCUGUGAUCUGGGGGCCGCUUAGGGGCUGCAGUUGUGGGGUCUCUGAGGAGGGAACCGGGUUACAUCCACACCCCGCUCACAUGCGUGCAGCCCUUGGGAGAGGACACUGAGGACCGGAAGUGGGGGGAGUCCCACCUGCCAGCCUGUGGACUCCGGGAACGCAUCUCCGCUCACUUUUUGUCUUGUUCUCUUCUCGUUCUCUCCCUCUCUCUCUCCCUCUCUCUCUCUCUCACUGUAUCUUUUAGAAAGUGGUACUCAAGAAUGCACACUAUUUUAUAUUUUAUUCAAAUUAAACAUUUUUGGGACUAAAAUAACAUAUUAAUGGUUCCACACAGAGAUAAGCCUAUUUUGGGAAUCCAAUAAACAUUUACUUGAUCUUAGGUAGUAUUAUUUAAGAACAUGCCCAUAGAUGGUAUUGAAUCAAUGUAUGAAUGAGUGAAGAAAAGAAAAAAAGGAAACGCUUCCCCACUGACCCACGCGCUGUAAAUAUCCUGGUUUAUGCUCUUACAGGCAUGAAUUGUCAUCUUUUCUGUCCCACUACCCUAAUUGUGAAAUUAAAAUCUCACGAGCUAACCUGGAUAUGCUAUCUCAUGCUCUGAUUUUAAAUUAACUGUAAACAGAAAAUUCAGCCCGUGAGGGCCUGUGAGAGAGCAGG
Molecule: long non-coding RNA, 1309 nt
Organism: Heterocephalus glaber (naked mole-rat)
Lineage: Eukaryota; Metazoa; Chordata; Mammalia; Rodentia; Bathyergidae
Source: RefSeq, a predicted model, not a curated record